AUUGAACGCUGGCGGCAUGCCUUACACAUGCAAGUCGAACGGCAGCGGGGACUUCGGUCCGCCGGCGAGUGGCGAACGGGUGAGUAAUGUAUCGGUACGUACCAUUCAGUGGGGGAUAACUAUCCGAAAGGAUAGCUAAUACCGCAUAUUCUGUGAGCAGGAAAGCAGGGGAUCGCAAGACCUUGCGCUGAUUGAGCGGCCGAUAUCAGAUUAGCUAGUUGGUGAGGUAAAGGCUCACCAAGGCGACGAUCUGUAGCGGGUCUGAGAGGAUGUGCCGCCAAGCGGGAAUGGAGAGACGGGCCAGACUCCUACGGGAGGAAGCAGUGGGGAAUUUUGGACAAUGGGGUCAACCCUGAUCCAGCCAUGCCGCGUGAGUGAAGAAGGCCUUCGGGUUGUAAAGCUCUUUCGGCCGGGAAAAAAUCGCAUGGGUUAAUACCCUGUGUGGAUGAUGGUACCGGAAUAAGAAGCACCGGCUAACUACGUGCCAGCAGCCGCCGUAA
This 500-nucleotide ribosomal RNA is filed under the name uncultured bacterium. RNAcentral describes it as "partial 16S ribosomal RNA". It matches the Rfam family "Bacterial small subunit ribosomal RNA", at positions 30 to 523 of the family's 1533-position model. The record is from RNAcentral.